Molecule: ribosomal RNA, 315 nt
Filed under: uncultured eukaryote
Lineage: Eukaryota
Description: partial 18S ribosomal RNA
Rfam family: Eukaryotic small subunit ribosomal RNA
Source: RNAcentral
CCCUUAGAUGUUCUGGGCUGCACGCGCGCUACACUGACGCACGCAACAGGUGCCUGCUCCGAGAGGACUGGGUAAUCAUUUGAGUGUGCGUCGUGAUGGGGAUAGAAUAUUGUAAUUAUUACUCUUCAACGAGGAAUUCCUAGUAAGCGCCAGUCAGCAGCUUGCGCUGAUUACGUCCCUGCCCUUUGUACACACCGCCCGUCGCCCCUACCGAUGGGUGAUCCGGUGAAUGAUUCGGACUUCAGCGGCUCCCCUGGGGUGCGCCGGAGAAAGUUUUGUGAACCUUAUCACUUGGAGGAAGGAGAAGUCGUAACA